UACGUAGGUGGCAAGCGUUGUCCGGAUUUACUGGGCGUAAAGAGCGCGCAGGCGGUCGAUUAAGUCGAAUGUGAAAGCCCCCGGCUCAACUGGGGAGGGUCACGCGAUACUGAUCGACUCGAAGGCAGGAGAGGGAAGUGGAAUUCCCGGUGUAGUGGUGAAAUGCGUAGAUAUCGGGAGGAACACCAGUGGCGAAGGCGACUUCCUGGCCUGUUCUUGACGCUGAGGCGCGAAAGCUAGGGUAGCAAACGGG
Molecule: ribosomal RNA, 253 nt
Filed under: uncultured bacterium
Lineage: Bacteria
Description: partial 16S ribosomal RNA
Rfam family: Bacterial small subunit ribosomal RNA
Source: RNAcentral